GUGGGGAAUCUUGCGCAAUGGGCGAAAGCCUGACGCAGCCAUGCCGCGUGAAUGAUGAAGGUCUUAGGAUUGUAAAAUUCUUUCACCGGGGACGAUAAUGACGGUACCCGGAGAAGAAGCACCGGCUAACUUCGUGCCAGCAGCCGCGGUAAUACGAAGGGGGCUAGCGUUGCUCGGAAUUACUGGGCGUAAAGGGCGCGUAGGCGGAGCGUUAAGUCAGGGGUGAAAUCCCAGAGCUCAACUCUGGAACUGCCCUUGAUACUGGCGAUCUUGAGUGUGAGAGAGGUAUGUGGAACUCCGAGUGUAGAGGUGAAAUUCGUAGAUAUUCGGAAGAACACCAGUGGCGAAGGCGACAUACUGGCUCAUUACUGACGCUGAGUCGCGAAAGCGUGAGGAGCAAACAGGAUUAGAUACCCUUGUAGUCC
RNAcentral lists this ribosomal RNA (425 nucleotides) under uncultured bacterium. Its description in RNAcentral is "partial 16S ribosomal RNA". It matches the Rfam family "Bacterial small subunit ribosomal RNA", at positions 354 to 796 of the family's 1533-position model. The record is from RNAcentral.